CCUACGGGAGGCAGCAGUGGGGAAUAUUGCACAAUGGGGUAAACCCUGAUGCAGCGACGCCGCGUGAGUGAAGACGUAUUUCGGUAUGUAAAGCUCUAUCAGCAGGGAAGAAAAUGACGGUACCUUACUAAGAAGCCCCGGCUAACUACGUGCCAGCAGCCGCGGUAAUACGUAGGGGGAAAGCGUUAUCCGGAUUUCCUGGGUGUAAAGGGAGCGUAGACUGCCAGAGAAUUCAGAAGUGAAAGCCCAGGGCGCAACCCUGGGACUGCUUUUGAAACUGCCGGGCUGGAGUGCAGGAGAGGUAAGCGGAAUUCCUAGUGUAGCGGUGAAAUGCGUAGAUAUUAGGAGGAACACCAGGGGCGAAGGCGGCUUACUGGACUGUAACUGACGUUGAGGCUCGAAAGCGUGGGGAGCAAACAGGAUUAGAUACCCCUGUAGUC
RNAcentral lists this ribosomal RNA (440 nucleotides) under uncultured bacterium. RNAcentral's name for it is "partial 16S ribosomal RNA". It matches the Rfam family "Bacterial small subunit ribosomal RNA", at positions 338 to 795 of the family's 1533-position model. The record is from RNAcentral.